UUUCCGUAGGUGAACCUGCGGAAGGAUCAUUAAUAAAUUUUUUUUUGAAAUAAAAAAAAAUAUAAUCAUCCUACCCUUUGUGAAUUUGUUUUGUUGAAUAAUUUUUUAAAAUUAUUUAUUGUCUAUCCAAGUUGGAAGUUGUAAAAGACUCAAGACUUGGAGCGGCAUAAAUAAAUUUAAAGACUUUUUUCUAAAAUUAAACUUUUUGUAUUCAUUUGUCUAAAAUAAUUUUUAUAAUAUAUAAAAACAACUUUUGACAAUGGAUCUCUUGGUUCUCGCAACGAUGAAGAACGCAGCAAAAUGCGAUAAGUAAUGUGAAUUGCAGAAUACGUGAAUCAUCGAAUCUUCGAACGCAUAUUGCACUUUUUUAGUUUACUAAAAAAGUAUGUCUGUUUGAGUAUCAGUAAAAUAUUCUCAUAAAAUUUUUAAUUUUAUGGUUAUGAGUGUUUUACAACGAUAAACAAGUUGUUUCACUUUAAAUUGAAUUUUUUGAAGAAAUUCUUUAAUUCAAAUUAAAUUUGGAUAAAAUUUUCCCGUAAAAAGGAAUAACUAUACAAGUUUAAUAAGAAUUUGAUUUCUUUUAUAAAAGGAAAUUUAUUAAAUAACUUGAUCUCAAAUCAGAUAAGAGUACCCGCUGAACUUAAGCAUAUCAAUAAGCGGAGGAAAAGAAACUAACAAGGAUUCCCUAGUAACGGCGAGUGAAGCGGGAAGAGCUCAAAUUUGAAAUCUUAAAGGGUUUCCCUUUACGAAUUGUAGUUUAAAGAAGUGUUUUCUGUUGAGGUUUGGUAAAGGUUCUUUGGAAUAGGACAUCAUAGAGGGUGAGAAUCCCGUAUUUGACCUUUACUUUCAACUUUGUGAUACACUUUCAAAGAGUCGGAUUGUUUGGGAAUGCAGUCCAAAAUGGGUGGUAAAUUUCAUCUAAAGCUAAAUAUUGGCGAGAGACCGAUAGCGAACAAGUACCGUGAGGGAAAGAUGAAAAGAACUUUGAAAAGAGAGUUAAACAGUACGUGAAAUUGUCAAAAGGGAAGCGUUUGACACCAGUGUUGUUUUUCUGAAAAUCAAUUAAAGAACUGUUUAUGCUAAGCUGUUUAGACUUUAUCAGCUAUCUGUUAGUUUUGAGCUUUUCUUUAAUGCACUUUUCAGUUAACAAGUCAACAUCAAUUUCUUUUGCUGUAAAAAGCUUGAGGAAGUGGCUUGAGAUUCGUCUUAAGUGUUUAUAGCCUCUUGCCUAUGCAGUCGGAGAGAUUGAGGUCUGCAGCGUAGAUCCUUCGGGGCUAAAUGCAUUUGUGCUAAGUUAUAGCAUUUUAUAGACAACUUGUUGACUAUGAUUUGUCUUGUAGCUACUCGCUUAUGUUAUUUUACCUACGCUUAGGAUG
This 1376-nucleotide unclassified non-coding RNA is filed under the name uncultured Neocallimastigales. Its description in RNAcentral is "partial contains small subunit ribosomal RNA, internal transcribed spacer 1, 5.8S ribosomal RNA, internal transcribed spacer 2, and large subunit ribosomal RNA". The stretch from base 608 to 1376 matches the Rfam family "Eukaryotic large subunit ribosomal RNA", at positions 1 to 628 of the family's 3401-position model. Lineage: Eukaryota; Fungi; Neocallimastigomycota; Neocallimastigomycetes; Neocallimastigales. The record is from RNAcentral.